AUGGAGGAACUUCACCAGAUGGACUCAUUGGGGCUACUUUACUGCCUUUACAGGGAGCCUGGAGUCCCAGGAAUGACCUUGGAGAGGGACAGGCUCCCAGGCCAGGAGGCGGUGACAUUCAAGGAUGUGGCUGUGGAGUUCACUCGGGAGGAGUGGUGCCUCUUGUCCCCUCCCCAGAAGGAGCUGUAUAAGGAGGUGAUGCUGGAGAAUGCCCAGAAUCUGCUCUCUGUGGGUAAGGAACCCUCUCCCUGCUGCCCGAGUCUGCCAUCCAAAGGAAUAUCGCCCUCAGGGGCAGGCAAAAUUGGGAGCAGUUUUCAGUCAUGAGGAAGGGAUGGUGGCUGGUAUGAUGAAUCCCAGAGCCAGGGCUCUCCUGCUGCCUGGUGCUCCUAUAAAAGUCCUUUGCAUUGUGUAAUGGGACCUCGGGGGACUCCCUUUGAUGCUCCUGAAGUUCAAGAUCGAAUGCGUGUUGGAGAAUCUCAGACCUGGAAGUAAUCUCAGAUCUGAUUUCGUCUUGCCUCUCCCUAGCCUGGAAUUGGGUCUCCCAAACCCAUCUGGAAAAACUGUUCAGGAGGGUUUUCCUCCCACCCUCUUCUGCUCUAGGGUGGAUCUACUAUUGAGGAUCUUUUUCUCUUUAACCAGCAUAAACUUGUAGCUCACAGCACCUCUAUGUCCCUAGAAGAGAUGGUUUGUCCUUAGUCUUCCUUCCUAUUGCUCUAAUCCUCCAGUAAACCCAGUGAGUAAGAGAGGGAAGGGUUGAAGCAUUUAUAACAAUGUCCUCUUGUCCCAGGGCUCUGCCAAGAAGGGUUUUCUCUGUAAUAUGGCACUUCUUCCUCACCUUCAUCUUCCUAAUUCAGUGAUACAAUUUUCACCAUUUCACAGAUGAGGAAAUAGUUUUGAUUAAGUGGCAUGUUCUGAGGCACCUAUAUAGGGGCUGUUUCUGACAAAAUGUAAACUGAGCCUCCCUACUCCCUCCCCUUUUAGCUGCCUCUCAUUUCCACAUAAUGGAAAACUGGAUUGAGUCUAGCCUUCUCUAAAGAAAAGGCCCUAGAACCUAAUAUUCUGGUUUCAGAUUGGUUCCCUUACCUUCUCCACCCUCCUCUUCCCACACUAUAUACUGGGGAGACUCUCCUCCAGGAGGCCCCUGAAAUCUCCUACAGGUCCUGCUUGCCCUCCUCAGUGAUUGUCAAGAUGAAUGAACUGGCUGAGAGACAGCAUUGGGCCAAAAGAGCUUUGUUGAGUUCCCCAGGAGAGGAGGUAGAGACUCCCUGAAGAAGAGUCCAGGAGACUCAGAGAGGUGUCACGGAGAGAGGAGCAGACAGGGUGG
RNAcentral lists this long non-coding RNA (1324 nucleotides) under Monodelphis domestica (gray short-tailed opossum). RNAcentral describes it as "lncRNA (ENSMODG00000041945.1)". The record is from RNAcentral. Lineage: Eukaryota; Metazoa; Chordata; Mammalia; Didelphimorphia; Didelphidae.